CCUAUGAAGCUUUACUGUAACUUGAAAUUGAAAUUGGACUUUAUUUGCGCAGUAUAGGUGGGAGGCUUUGAAGAUAUUCUUGCGGGAAUAUUUGAGCCAUCAGUGAGAUACCACUCUUGUAAUGUUAGAUUUCUAACUUUGUAUCAUAAUCUGGUCAAAGAACAGUUUCAGGCGGGCAGUUUGACUGGGGCGGUCGCCUCCCAAAUGGUAACGGAGGCGUACAAAGGUUUCCUCUGAACGUGUAGAAAUCGUAUCUAGAGUGUAAAGGCAUAAGGAAGCUUGACUGUGAGACCUACAAGUCGAGCAGGGACGAAAGUCGGUCUUAGUGAUCUGACGGUACUGAGUGGAAAGG
This 352-nucleotide ribosomal RNA is filed under the name Bacillaria paxillifer. Its description in RNAcentral is "bacterial LSU rRNA". It matches the Rfam family "Bacterial large subunit ribosomal RNA", at positions 2090 to 2441 of the family's 2925-position model. Lineage: Eukaryota; Bacillariophyta; Bacillariophyceae; Bacillariales; Bacillariaceae. The record is from RNAcentral.